AACGAACGCUGGCGGCAGGCUUAACACAUGCAAGUCGAGCGCCCCGCAAGGGGAGCGGCAGACGGGUCAGUAACGCGUGGGAACGUACACAUGGGUGCGGAACAACUCCGGGAAACUGGUGCUAAUACCGGAUAAGCCCUAACGGGGAAAGAUUUAUCGCCGAACGAUCGGCCCGCGUCUGAUUAGCUAGUUGGUGAGGUAACGUCGCACCAAGGCGACGAUCAGUAGCUGGUCUGAGAGGAUGAUCAGCCACACUGGGACUGAGACACGGCCCCGACUCCUACGGGAGGCAGCAGUGGGGAAUAUUGGACAAUGGGCGCAAGCCUGAUCCAGCCAUGCCGCGUGAGUGAUGAAGGCCUUAGGGUUGUAAAGCUCUUUUGUCCGGGAAGAUAAUGACUGUACCGGAAGAAUAAGCCCCGGCUAACUUCGUG
Molecule: ribosomal RNA, 431 nt
Filed under: uncultured bacterium
Lineage: Bacteria
Description: partial 16S ribosomal RNA
Rfam family: Bacterial small subunit ribosomal RNA
Source: RNAcentral